UGGCCUUGACAUACUACAGAAUUUGACAGAGAUGUUGAAGUGCCUUCGGGAGCUGUAAUACAGGUGCUGCACGGCUGUCGUCAGCUCGUGUCGUGAGAUGUUGGGUUAAGUCCCGCAACGAGCGCAACCCUCGUCCUUAGUUACUAACGGUUCGGCCGAGGACUCUAAGGAGACUGCCUUCGUAAGGAGGAGGAAGGUGAGGACGACGUCAAGUCAUCAUGGCCCUUACGGCUAGGGCAACACACGUGCUACAAUGGUUAGGACAAUGAGAAGCGAUACCGCGAGGUGGAGCAAAUCUAUAAACCUAAUCUCAGUUCGGAUAGCAGUCUGCAACUCGACUGCUUGAAGCUGGAAUCACUAGUAAUCGUAAAUCAGCUAUGUUACGGUGAAUACGUUCCCGGGUCU
RNAcentral lists this ribosomal RNA (405 nucleotides) under uncultured bacterium. RNAcentral describes it as "bacterial SSU rRNA". It matches the Rfam family "Bacterial small subunit ribosomal RNA", at positions 976 to 1381 of the family's 1533-position model. The record is from RNAcentral.